RNAcentral lists this ribosomal RNA (253 nucleotides) under uncultured bacterium. RNAcentral's name for it is "partial 16S ribosomal RNA". It matches the Rfam family "Bacterial small subunit ribosomal RNA", at positions 524 to 776 of the family's 1533-position model. The record is from RNAcentral.
UACGUAGGGCGCAAGCGUUGUCCGGAAUCAUUGGGCGUAAAGAGCUCGUAGGCGGCCUGUCGCGUCUGCUGUGAAAUCCCGGGGCUUAACCCCGGGCGUGCAGUGGAUACGGGCUGGCUGGAGGCAGGCAGGGGAGAACGGAAUUCCCGGUGUAGCGGUGAAAUGCGCAGAUAUCGGGAGGAACACCGGUGGCGAAGGCGGGUUGCUGGGCCGACACUGACGCUGAUGCGCGAAAGCGUGGGGAGCGAACAGG